UACGUAGGGUGCGAGCGUUAAUCGGAAUUACUGGGCGUAAAGCGUGCGCAGGCGGCUACUUAAGCCAGAUGUGAAAUCCCCGGGCUCAACCUGGGAAUGGCAUUUGGAACUGGGUGGCUAGAGUGCGGCAGAGGGAGGUGGAAUUCCACGUGUAGCAGUGAAAUGCGUAGAGAUGUGGAGGAACACCGAUGGCGAAGGCAGCCUCCUGGGUCGACACUGACGCUCAUGCACGAAAGCGUGGGGAGCAAACAGG
RNAcentral lists this ribosomal RNA (253 nucleotides) under uncultured organism. RNAcentral describes it as "partial 16S ribosomal RNA". It matches the Rfam family "Bacterial small subunit ribosomal RNA", at positions 524 to 776 of the family's 1533-position model. The record is from RNAcentral.